AUCACUAUAACAAAAUAAAAAAUCCAAGAUAUAGAUAGAAUUAGAACAGCAAUGGAUAAGAUUACAUCAUAUAUAUAUAUAUUGAUCAUUCGAUCUCUCCCUCCUUGUGUGUCUCAAUGACAACGUCUGACCUAGGUUGAGCAACACAGGUGAGAACCCAGCCACUAUCUAUUUGCUCAUCAUCAAGGAAGCUACCAUCUGACUGGUCCACGUUACCUUCCACAAUUUUGCCAACACAGGAAACGCAAGAACCGGCCCUGCACGAGUAGGGAAGUUCAAUGCCUUCGUCCUCUGCCUUGUCAACAAUGAAAACAUCAUCUGGGCAUUCAAACUCCACUUCUCCUUCUGGGGUUAUGAGCUUCACCUUGUACGAGGCCAUGCAAGUGACACGACCACCUCGUCCACUUUUCAGACCAAAAAGAGCUUCACCAACGUUGGGGAAUGUCUUUAGGCUUGUG
This 458-nucleotide long non-coding RNA is filed under the name Glycine max (soybean). Its description in RNAcentral is "long non-coding RNA (GMAX_LNC001102)". The record is from RNAcentral. Lineage: Eukaryota; Viridiplantae; Streptophyta; Magnoliopsida; Fabales; Fabaceae.